CCUACGGGAGGCACCAGUGGGGAAUAUUGCACAAUGGGCGCAAGCCUGAUGCAGCCAUGCCGCGUGUGUGAAGAAGGCCUUCGGGUUGUAAAGCACUUUCAGCGGGGAGGAAGGCGGUGAGGUUAAUAACCUCAUCGAUUGACGUUACCCGCAGAAGAAGCACCGGCUAACUCCGUGCCAGCAGCCGCGGUAAUACGGAGGGUGCAAGCGUUAAUCGGAAUUACUGGGCGUAAAGCGCACGCAGGCGGUCUGUCAAGUCGGAUGUGAAAUCCCCUGGCUCCACCUGGGAGCUGCAUUCGAAACUGGCAGGCUAGAGUCUUGUAGAGGGGGGUUGAAUUCCAGGUGUAGCGGUGAAAUGCGUAGAGAUCUGGAGGAAUACCGGUGGCGAAGGCGGCCCCCCGGACAAAGACUGACGCUCAGGCGCGAAAGCGUGGGGAGCAAAUAGGAUUAGAUACCCGGGUAGUC
This 465-nucleotide ribosomal RNA is filed under the name uncultured bacterium. RNAcentral describes it as "bacterial SSU rRNA". It matches the Rfam family "Bacterial small subunit ribosomal RNA", at positions 338 to 795 of the family's 1533-position model. The record is from RNAcentral.